UACGGAGGGAGCUAGCGUUGUUCGGAAUUACUGGGCGUAAAGCGCGCGUAGGCGGCUUUGUAAGUUAGGGGUGAAAGCCCGGUGCUCAACACCGGAAUUGCCUUUAAGACUGCAUCGCUUGAAUCCGGGAGAGGUGAGUGGAAUUCCGAGUGUAGAGGUGAAAUUCGUAGAUAUUCGGAAGAACACCAGUGGCGAAGGCGGCUCACUGGACCGGCAUUGACGCUGAGGUGCGAAAGCGUGGGGAGCAAACAGG
This 253-nucleotide ribosomal RNA is filed under the name uncultured bacterium. RNAcentral describes it as "partial 16S ribosomal RNA". It matches the Rfam family "Bacterial small subunit ribosomal RNA", at positions 524 to 776 of the family's 1533-position model. The record is from RNAcentral.